Molecule: ribosomal RNA, 465 nt
Filed under: Vreelandella stevensii
Lineage: Bacteria; Pseudomonadati; Pseudomonadota; Gammaproteobacteria; Oceanospirillales; Halomonadaceae
Description: partial 16S ribosomal RNA
Rfam family: Bacterial small subunit ribosomal RNA
Source: RNAcentral
CCUACGGGUGGCUGCAGUGGGGAAUAUUGGACAAUGGGCGAAAGCCUGAUCCAGCCAUGCCGCGUGUGUGAAGAAGGCCUUCGGGUUGUAAAGCACUUUCAGUGGGGAAGAAAGCCUUGGGGCUAAUACCCUCGAGGAAGGACAUCACCCACAGAAGAAGCACCGGCUAACUCCGUGCCAGCAGCCGCGGUAAUACGGAGGGUGCGAGCGUUAAUCGGAAUUACUGGGCGUAAAGCGCGCGUAGGCGGUCUGAUAAGCCGGUUGUGAAAGCCCCGGGCUCAACCUGGGAACGGCAUCCGGAACUGUCAGGCUAGAGUGCAGGAGAGGAAGGUAGAAUUCCUGGUGUAGCGGUGAAAUGCGUAGAGAUCGGGAGGAAUACCAGUGGCGAAGGCGGCCUUCUGGACUGACACUGACGCUGAGGUGCGAAAGCGUGGGUAGCAAACAGGAUUAGAUACCCGAGUAGUC